GCCUAAAAUGCAGCCUAUCUUAAAUCCUAUGUACACCACAACUAAAUACCUUUUAAUAAAACAUUUUUCUAGUUUAGUACAGGCGAUCAAAAGACUUAUUAGCGCUUCAUCCAUAGUACCGCAAGGGAAAAAUGAAAUAGCUAUGAAAUAGACCUAAAGCACAACACAGCAGAGCUUACUUCUCG
Molecule: ribosomal RNA, 185 nt
Filed under: Limnonectes finchi (Finch's wart frog)
Lineage: Eukaryota; Metazoa; Chordata; Amphibia; Anura; Dicroglossidae
Description: partial 16S ribosomal RNA
Source: RNAcentral